AACGUAGGAUCCGAGCGUUAUCCGAAUUUACUGGGCGUAAAGCGCGUGCAGGCGGUUCGAUAAGUUGGAUGUGAAAUCUCCUGGCCCAACUGGGAGAGGUCGUUCAAUACUGUCGGGCUAGAGGAUGGUAGAGGGAGGUGGAAUUCCCGGUGUAGUGGUGAAAUGCGUAGAGAUCGGGAGGAACACCAGUGGCGAAGGCGGCCUCCUGGGCCAUUCCUGACGCUAAGACGCGAAAGAUAGGGUAGCGAACGGG
Molecule: ribosomal RNA, 253 nt
Filed under: uncultured bacterium
Lineage: Bacteria
Description: partial 16S ribosomal RNA
Rfam family: Bacterial small subunit ribosomal RNA
Source: RNAcentral